RNAcentral lists this ribosomal RNA (253 nucleotides) under uncultured bacterium. RNAcentral describes it as "partial 16S ribosomal RNA". It matches the Rfam family "Bacterial small subunit ribosomal RNA", at positions 524 to 776 of the family's 1533-position model. The record is from RNAcentral.
UACGUAGGGAGCAAGCGUUGUCCGGAAUCAUUGGGCGUAAAGCGCGCGUAGGUGGCUUCGUAAGUCCGUUGUGAAAGUCAAAGGCUCAACCUUUGAAAGCAGAUGGAUACUGCGGAGCUAGAGUACGGAAGAGGCGAGUGGAAUUCCUGGUGUAGCGGUGGAAUGCGCAGAUAUCAGGAGGAACACCAAUAGCGAAGGCAGCUCGCUGGGACGUUACUGACACUGAGGCGCGAAAGCGUGGGGAGCGAACAGG